GUACACACCGCCCGUCAAGCCACCCAAGCAGGGCGCACCCGAAAUCGCUGACCCAACCCACAGGAGGGAGGCGCUGAAGGUGAGUUCUGUGAGGGGGACUAAGUCGUAACAAGGUAGCCGUAGGUGAACCUGCAGAAGGAUCA
Molecule: ribosomal RNA, 143 nt
Filed under: uncultured eukaryote
Lineage: Eukaryota
Description: partial small subunit ribosomal RNA
Rfam family: Bacterial small subunit ribosomal RNA
Source: RNAcentral